This 338-nucleotide long non-coding RNA is filed under the name Mytilus galloprovincialis (Mediterranean mussel). Lineage: Eukaryota; Metazoa; Mollusca; Bivalvia; Mytilida; Mytilidae. The record is from RNAcentral.
AGUCUUUUUUUUAGCUCACCUGGCCCGAAGGGCCAAGUGAGCUUAUGCCAUCACUUGGCGUCCGUCGUCGUCGUCGUCUGUCGUCGUAAACUAUUUCAAAAAUCUUCUCCUCUGAAACUACUAGGCCAAAUACUUCCAAACUUUAACUGAAUGUUCCUUAGGGUAUCUAGUUUAUAAAUUGUAUCCGAAGUUUUGAUCUAUCAACAAACAUGGUCGCCAUUGCUAAAAAUAGAACAUAGGGGUCAAAUGCAGUUUUGGCUUAUAUCUCAAAAACGAAAGCAUUUAGAGCAAAUCUGACAUGGGGUAAAAAAUGUUCAUUAGGUCAAGAUCUAUCAGCC